CUACGGGGGGCAGCAGUGGGGAAUAUUGCACAAUGGAGGAAACUCUGAUGCAGCAACGCCGCGUGGAGGAUGACACCUUUCGGAGCGUAAACUCCUUUUAUAUAGGAAGAAGAUGACGGUACUAUAUGAAUAAGCGCCGGCUAACUCCGUGCCAGCAGCCGCGGUAAUACGGAGGGCGCAAGCGUUACUCGGAAUCACUGGGAGUAAAGAGCGUGUAGGCGGAUUAAAAAGUCAGAAGUGAAAUCCUAUAGCUUAACUAUAGAACUGCUUCUGAAACUCUUAAUCUAGAAUAUGGGAGAGGUAGAUGGAAUUUCUGGUGUAGGGGUAAAAUCCGUAGAGAUCAGAAGGAAUACCGAUUGCGAAGGCGAUCUACUAGAACAUUAUUGACGCUGAGACGCGAAAGCGUGGGGAGCAAACAGGAUUAGAUACCCUUGUAGUC
Molecule: ribosomal RNA, 439 nt
Filed under: uncultured bacterium
Lineage: Bacteria
Description: partial 16S ribosomal RNA
Rfam family: Bacterial small subunit ribosomal RNA
Source: RNAcentral